CCACGUUCGGAUUGUAGUCUGCAACCCGACUACAUGAAGCUGGAAUCGCUAGUAAUCGCGGAUCAGAAUGCCGCGGUGAAUACGUUCCCGGGUCUUGUACACACCGCCCGUCACACCAUGGGAGUCGGAUAUGCCCGAAGUCAGUGACCCAACCGCAAGGAGGGAGCUGCCGAAGGUGGAGCCGAUGACUGGGGUGAAGUCGUAACAAGGUAGC
This 214-nucleotide ribosomal RNA is filed under the name uncultured bacterium. Its description in RNAcentral is "partial 16S ribosomal RNA". It matches the Rfam family "Bacterial small subunit ribosomal RNA", at positions 1287 to 1500 of the family's 1533-position model. The record is from RNAcentral.